RNAcentral lists this transfer RNA (75 nucleotides) under Cordylochernes scorpioides. RNAcentral describes it as "tRNA-Ser". The record is from RNAcentral. Lineage: Eukaryota; Metazoa; Arthropoda; Arachnida; Pseudoscorpiones; Chernetidae.
UGUCAAGGGAUGGGAAUCGAACCCUCGACCUUCCGCUUAGCAGGCAGAUGCCAUGACCACUAGGCUACCCUGGAC